Molecule: ribosomal RNA, 496 nt
Filed under: uncultured bacterium
Lineage: Bacteria
Description: partial 16S ribosomal RNA
Rfam family: Bacterial small subunit ribosomal RNA
Source: RNAcentral
AUGAACGCUGGCGGCGUGCCUAAUACAUGCAAGUCGAGCGAACAGACGAGGAGCUUGCUCCUCUGACGUUAGCGGCGGACGGGUGAGUAACACGUGGAUAACCUACCUAUAAGACUGGGAUAACUUCGGGAAACCGGAGCUAAUACCGGAUAAUAUAUUGAACCGCAUGGUUCAAUAGUGAAAGACGGUUUUGCUGUCACUUAUAGAUGGAUCCGCGCCGCAUUAGCUAGUUGGUAAGGUAACGGCUUACCAAGGCGACGAUGCGUAGCCGACCUGAGAGGGUGAUCGGCCACACUGGAACUGAGACACGGUCCAGACUCCUACGGGAGGCAGCAGUAGGGAAUCUUCCGCAAUGGGCGAAAGCCUGACGGAGCAACGCCGCGUGAGUGAUGAAGGUCUUCGGAUCGUAAAACUCUGUUAUUAGGGAAGAACAAAUGUGUAAGUAACUAUGCACGUCUUGACGGUACCUAAUCAGAUAGCCACGGCUAACUACGUG